Molecule: ribosomal RNA, 253 nt
Filed under: uncultured bacterium
Lineage: Bacteria
Description: partial 16S ribosomal RNA
Rfam family: Bacterial small subunit ribosomal RNA
Source: RNAcentral
UACGUAGGGGGCAAGCGUUAUCCGGAUUUACUGGGUGUAAAGGGAGUGUAGGUGGCAUGGCAAGUCAGAAGUGAAAGCCCGGGGCUCAACCCCGGGACUGCAUUUGAAACUAUCGGACUGGAGUGCAGGAGAGGUAAGUGGAAUUCCUAGUGUAGCGGUGAAAUGCGUAGAUAUUAGGAGGAACACCAGUGGCGAAGGCGGCUUACUGGACUGUAACUGACACUGAGGCUCGAAAGCGUGGGGAGCAAACAGG